Molecule: ribosomal RNA, 651 nt
Filed under: bacterium
Lineage: Bacteria
Description: bacterial SSU rRNA
Rfam family: Bacterial small subunit ribosomal RNA
Source: RNAcentral
UCCAUCGGUAGCUUGCUAUCAAUGGUGAGAGUGGCGCACGGGUGCGUAACGCGUGAGCAACCUGCCUCCAUCAGGGGGAUAGCCUCUCGAAAGAGAGAUUAACACCGCAUAACAUAUUUUACCGGCAUCGGACGAAUAUUAAAUAUUUAUAGGAUGGAGAUGGGCUCGCGUGACAUUAGCUUGUUGGUGGGGUAACGGCCCACCAAGGCGACGAUGUCUAGGGGCUCUGAGAGGAGAAUCCCCCACACUGGUACUGAGACACGGACCAGACUCCUACGGGAGGCAGCAGUAAGGAAUAUUGGUCAAUGGGCGGAAGCCUGAACCAGCCAUGCCGCGUGCAGGAUGACUGCCCUAUGGGUUGUAAACUGCUUUUGUCCGGGAAUAAACCUCCUUACGAGUAGGGAGCUGAAUGUACCGGAAGAAUAAGGAUCGGCUAACUCCGUGCCAGCAGCCGCGGUAAUACGGAGGAUCCGAGCGUUAUCCGGAUUUAUUGGGUUUAAAGGGUGCGUAGGCGGCCUGUUAAGUCAGGGGUGAAAUACGGUGGCUCAACCAUCGCAGUGCCUUUGAUACUGACGGGCUUGAAUCCAUAUGAAGUGGGCGGAAUAAGACAAGUAGCGGUGAAAUGCAUAGAUAUGUCUUAGAACUCCGAUU